GCUGCUGAGCCCAUCAUCCAGCAGCUGGACCAGCUCUUCCCGCUCGAUAAACUCAAGGAGCGGCGCCAGUGGAGGGAUGAGAGGCUCAUCGCGUUCGCCGCCCUCCGCGACCAGAUGAAGAGGAAGGAGAAGAGCGACUAGUCCCGCACGAAUGCGUGCCUCCUCUGGAACCUAGCGCUGCUUCUUGCGCUGUUCUAUUUCUUGUCAGUGUAAUAGAUUCAGUCGAGAAAUAAGAUCAUUUAAUAUACUAUUCUUUUGUGUUCUUUUUAUUUCCAUUAUGAAAUGAAUAAAAUGUUGAAGCUUUCA
Molecule: long non-coding RNA, 306 nt
Organism: Hyalella azteca
Lineage: Eukaryota; Metazoa; Arthropoda; Malacostraca; Amphipoda; Hyalellidae
Exons: 2
Source: RefSeq, a predicted model, not a curated record